ACAUCUGACCACAGAUGUUUAUAAGAUCAAGAUACUGGACUCUGUUACAGUACCAGACCAACUCCACAUACUACAUCAUGAACAGGUCUGUGUGAUGGAGGUCUGUGUGGUUGAGGUGAUGGAGGUCUGUGAGGUAGGUCUGUGUGAUGGAGGUCUGUGUGGUUGAGGUGAUGGAGGUCUGUGUGGUUGAGGUGAUGGAGGUCUGUGUGAUGAAGGUCUGUGUGAGGUAGGUCUGUGUGAUGGAGGUGAUGGAGGUCUGUGUGGUUGAGGUGAUGGAGGUCUGUGUGAUGGAGGUCUGUGUGGUUGAGGUGAUGGAGGUCUGUGUGGUUGAGGUGAUGGAGGUCUGUGUGAUGAAGGUCUGUGUGAGGUAGGUCUGUGUGAUGGAGGUCUGUGUGGUUGAGGUGAUGGAGGUUUGUGUGGUUGAGGUGAUGGAGGUCUGUGUGGUUGAGGUGAUGGAGGUCUGUGUGGUUGAGGUGAUGGAGGUCUGUGUGAUGGAGGUCUGUGUGGUUGAGGUGAUGGAGGUCUGUGUGAUGAAGGUCUGUGAGGUAGGUCUGUGUGAUGGAGGUCUGUGUGAUGGAGGUCUGGGUGCAGUAUCUCAUCCUAUCAUACAUCAAGAAUCAGACGGUGUUUUCAGAGGUUCAUCUCUGGUUGUGAUGACCGCUGACCUUUGACCUCUGACACAAAAUGAACUCAAAACGUUUUGGUCAGCCUGUGAUGUCAUAGCUGACUCCUCCCCUUCCUGCUUUGUGACCUUUGACCUUUGAAGGUAUUUUUUUACAGUGUAUUAGAUUCGUAAAGGUUCAUUUGAUACCAUGAUCAUUUUGUAUUUUUUAUAGUUUUUGUAUUCUGGCAGUGUUAGCAUCCGUGAGCUAAGUGUGUAGCGACAGUUCAGCCUCCACGAACCACAGGCAGCCCAGGAACCACGGGCAGCCCAGGAACCACAGGCAGUCCACGAACCACAGGCAGCCCAGGAAGUCCAUAAACCUGCAGGUCCUCCAGAGUCCACUAGAGUGUAGCCAGGUGUUAGCCAGGUGUUAGCUAGGUGUUAGCCAGGUGUUAGGGGGUUAGCCAGGUGUUGGCUAGGUGUUAGCAAGGUGUUAGUCAGGUGUUAGCCAGGUGUUAGGGGGUUAGCCAGGUGUUGGCCAGGUGUAAGGUGGUUAGCCAGGUGUUAGCCAGGUGUUAGCCAGGUGUUAGGGGGUUAGCCAGGUGUUAGCCAGGUGUUAGCCAGGUAUUGGCCAGGUGUAAGGUGGUUAGCCAGGUGUUAGCCAGGUGUUAGGGGGUUAGCCAGGUGUUAGCAAGGUGUUAGCCAGGUGUUAAGGUGUUAGCCAGGUGUUAGAGGGGUUAGGGUUUUCAUCAGAUUGUGGGUCCUGCAGGCUGAACUGUUUCUGUAGCAGUCAUUGUGUUUCUAUCCUCGGAUGCACUUGAGCCAACAUGGAGGGUAUGAACUGUUUUUUGCCCAGAAUGCUUUGCAGACUGUGUAGAAAAAGGGGUUUCCAUGGCAACAGUGCAUCUGUUGUUGUUCCUGUGGUGAAUGUAAAUCUUGUGAUGAAAUCAGCAUGAAUAAACUGUACGGAGAAACAUGA
Long non-coding RNA from Notolabrus celidotus (New Zealand spotty), 1583 nucleotides. RefSeq lists it as uncharacterized. NCBI's taxonomy places the organism in Eukaryota, Metazoa, Chordata, Actinopteri, Labriformes, Labridae. The record is from RefSeq and is a predicted model, not a curated record. The transcript has 2 exons.